AAACCAUAUGAUGAAUUUGGUCACUUUCUCACGACGGUCGUCUGAGAUUUACUUUGAUGUAAUGAUCCAAUUUUCUGAUGGUU
Molecule: small nucleolar RNA, 83 nt
Organism: Lotus japonicus
Lineage: Eukaryota; Viridiplantae; Streptophyta; Magnoliopsida; Fabales; Fabaceae
Product: small nucleolar RNA Z161/Z228
Exons: 1
Source: RefSeq, a predicted model, not a curated record